Molecule: unclassified non-coding RNA, 3243 nt
Filed under: Leishmania donovani
Lineage: Eukaryota; Euglenozoa; Kinetoplastea; Trypanosomatida; Trypanosomatidae
Description: gene:LdHU3.14.1100(CDS-product:hypothetical_prote in_conserved)
Source: RNAcentral
UGAACGCCACGACCGCACCCCUUCACCUCUCACCUAUUCCUUUACUUUCCAUCACCACCGCUGAGCGCCUCCUCGGUGGUACCUCUUCACUGUCCAUCUUCAUCAGGCUACCCCUUGAAGCCUCCAGCCCGUAAGAAACGCAAGCAUAAAGCAUCUUUCUCUCAAGCACAUCAAUCUUGUGGUGCAGCCGCUGCUCCCUCGUCCCCGAAAACCUCCUGAGCAGCACGCACGCGCGCCCACAGUAGGUGAUCUAUCUUUGCAUACGUAACCAUUCUACUGCCCUCCGCCCACCACCGCCUCCGGCGCCCCACUCGAGGUGGUGACAUCGCCCUCACCACCACCCCUACCCCUGAAACGGGAAAGCCCUAGAAGCGCCACAAGAAGCACACAGACAGGCAAGUCUCUCUUGGUCUGUUGCUGUCUGUCCCGCACUCAUGGACCUUGACGCGUUCCUCAGCAAGAACAACAAGAAGAGCUCGAAGAAGGUGGCCAAGAAGUCCGCAGAUGACGCAGCUCUUGGCGGUUUCGGGCUGGAGACGGUGCCGCGGGUGAGCACCGCCGCUGCGAAGCCCAUUACAGUGGCGAACACCGGUGGCAGCGACACCUCAGCGGCUGCUGGCACCGCGUCGCCGCUUCCAGCCCCUGAGAAGACCGUCGCAGCUCCAGUGGUUGCUGUGAACCUCAACUUCGCCGGCACCACGCGCAGUGCAAAGACGUGGGACGCGGUGAAGGCGUCACAGGACUCGAAGCGUCAGGAAGAAGUGAAGGCGGCGGCGCAGAAGGCCAAGGAGGAGGCCGAGGCAGCGGAGAGAAAAGCUUCUGCUGGUGGCGACGACGAUGAGGCGCAGUCGCCUGAGAGCUCCCCGAAGGAGACCAAGGUGGCGAAGUUUGUGGCACGCGGUCACCGCAAUGCGACCGGCGCUAUCGGCGGCGGAGAGGGCGGCGCUGCCGCCGCUGCGAGUGGCCGCUUCGCGCCGCGCACGCAGGGGCUGAGCCUGGAGAAUCUGCCGACCCUCGAGGAAACCUUCGGCAACGCACGCAAGCAGUCACAGUCGACGUCUUCGCAGUCGCAGCAGCAGCAGCAGCCCAUGCCAUUGCCCUCUCAGGAGCAGAACGGCGAGUCCGCUCCGGCGGCGACUCCGCAGCAAUCUUUCAGUUCAUCUCCGACUUCCGCCACGGCGGUGGCGGGCAGCAACAAGUACGUCCCUCCGAGCAAGAGCAGCAGUGCAAUGGAGUCCUCGACGGCUUUGCCGUCAUCGCCGAUGGCCGUGCGUGGCAGCGCUGGCGGCUCCUCUGCUGGCGCCUAUCGCCCCCCUUCCGGCAGCAGCGGUGUGUACAAGCCCCCCAGCACUGGUGCCUAUAGGCCGCCGAACGCGUCUGCUGGUGAGGCGUACAAGCCGCCGGCGCCGAGUGCUCCCAGCAGCGGUGCUGGUGCCUACAAGCCCCCUACUCCUGGCGGCGCGUCUGCCGGUGCGUACCGGCCGCCGGCCUCGACCGGUGAGGCGUACAAGCCUCCGAGCAGCGGCGGUGCUGGUGUCUACAAACCACCGAGCGCUGCUAGCAGCAAUGUUGGUGCGUUCAAGUCAUCUACAGCCGCCAGCUUCUCUGCUGACACGUACAAGCCGCCUGUGGCUGGUAGCGGCAGCAGUGCUGGUGCAUAUAAGCCACCUAGCGCCGGAGGCUCGGCCGGCGUCUACAAGCCGCCGAGCAAGCGCGAGGCGUAGCCUGUGCAGAGCCGACGUGCAUGUUGUGGAAACAAAGAGAAGCGCCCCCAUCAAUGAAGGGGCCAGCAUGCUGUUUGACGUCUAAUCGAAUCUAAAGGUGGUAAGCGUGCACAGAGGAAGGCAAUGUAAGUCGAUGCACAUGCUGGGAGGGGCUUGUGACGUGUAUGUAUCUGUGUGCAACGAGUGUUGUGCCAACGUGAAGGCUUGAUGCCUGGAUUCCCUCUUCUCUCUUUGGCGCCGCGUUGUCGUCCUUGUUUUUUUUUUUUGGGGGGGGGGAGUGGUGUCAACUGAUCAGCUGUUGUAGUUUUGUGCACCCUAUGAUUCUGGUGAGCCUGUGCACUCCCCCACACGCACAGCCCUUGCAUGCAGAUGUCCGUCUUCGCUUUUUCUUUUUGUUUUGUAUCUGCCGAGUGUACGUGCGUGUGUGUGUGUGUGUAUGCCUGUAUUCUCCUGUGUGGAUCUGUCCAAUUCUGCCUUUCCUUUCCCUGUUAUUGCUCUUGUUGCUCUUGUUUUAUGAGUGUGUGUGUGUGUGCGCGCGUGCGUGUAUGAGUGGGAGGGGAGGGGAAUGUGUUUCCUUGUUUCUUCUUUUUCGACUUCCUUGGGAGGGGUGGAGGAGAGCCUAACCGAUGUGGUGCAUCACCCCCGUCUAUCUACCUCUCUGUCCUUGGUUCGUGCUGACGCCGCUGUCGCCGUCGGUGUUGGGAUACUUUUUCUGUGUUGCAGAUGCUCCUGAGAUGUUUGUUUUUGUUUGCGCGUAGGCUUUGACCUCCGCGCGCAGUCCAUGUCGCUAUCUUCCUCCCCCCCCCUCCCCUCCCUCCUCUCUCCCUUUCUCUUGCCGUUUCCUUUCAUCCUAAACCCGCGUGUGUCGUCGAUCUAUCCUGUGUGUGCAUCGCCAGUGUGGCACGUUGCGUGUCUUUCUUUGGCUGCCCGCCGCGGACUUUGAUGUGCCCUACCCUUUCCUCAGCCCCCCACCCCACCCCACCCCUUUUCUCCCGCCCUUCUUUUUUCCCACUUGUGCUUAAUGAACUAUGACGUACUUCAAGAAGAAAGAAAGAACAACGAAAGAACGAGUGGGAAGCCAGCCCAGCACAUACAGUGGCGGAACCCCGCAUGCCAGCGGUACGCACAAGCAUACACGCACACGCAGACACAGCCAAGACGGCAGAACAGCAGCUGUAUCAGCGCCCCUCACCCUCUAAAUAUAUAUAUAUACGUUUGUAGGUCGAUGUGCGUGUGUUUGUGGUGCAUCCGCCUUCCAGCACUCAGAACCGCAUUGCAGGAGAGGGAGUGGUUCACGGAGCGUUCACGUAAGAGUCGCUUCUCGAGCGCUUCUUCGAUGUGCGUGCUUGCCACCCUCCCUGUUCCCGUCCAUGAUCUUCGUAUGUUUGGCUGCGUGUUUCGACCGUGCUCACUGUUGUCUCCUUCACCACCGAGGGUGGCCGAGACUGGACUAACCACCCGAUGUGUGCAGCUCACCGAUACAAGGCUAUCAUGCUCUACUCCCACGCUGUGGAGACGU